RNAcentral lists this ribosomal RNA (253 nucleotides) under uncultured bacterium. Its description in RNAcentral is "partial 16S ribosomal RNA". It matches the Rfam family "Bacterial small subunit ribosomal RNA", at positions 524 to 776 of the family's 1533-position model. The record is from RNAcentral.
GACGAACCGUGCGAACGUUGUCCGGAAUUACUGGGCGUAAAGAGCUCGUAGGUGGUUUGUCGCGUUGUCCGUGAAAACUCACAGCUCAACUGUGGGCGUGCGGGCGAUACGGGCAGACUGGAGUACUGCAGGGGAGACUGGAAUUCCUGGUGUAGCGGUGGAAUGCGCAGAUAUCAGGAGGAACACCGGUGGCGAAGGCGGGUCUCUGGGCAGUAACUGACGCUGAGGAGCGAAAGCGUGGGGAGCGAACAGG